CUACUUCAUCGGACAGCGGCGAACGGGUGAGUAACACGUUGGUAUCUGCCCCCAAGUCAGGGAUAGCCAUUGGAAACGAUGAUUAAUACCGGAUAGUCUCUACGGAGUAAAAAUUUAUUGCUUGGGGAGGAGCCUGCGUUCUAUCAGCUAGUUGGUGAGGUAAUAGCUCACCAAGGCUAUGACGGAUACCUGGUCUGAGAGGACGAUCAGCCACACUGGAACUGAGACACGGUCCAGACUCC
RNAcentral lists this ribosomal RNA (242 nucleotides) under uncultured bacterium. RNAcentral describes it as "partial 16S ribosomal RNA". It matches the Rfam family "Bacterial small subunit ribosomal RNA", at positions 80 to 339 of the family's 1533-position model. The record is from RNAcentral.